UNGAACACGCCUUUCUUCCCAUUCCAAUCC
Molecule: non-coding RNA, 30 nt
Filed under: Homo sapiens (human)
Lineage: Eukaryota; Metazoa; Chordata; Mammalia; Primates; Hominidae
Source: RNAcentral